This 449-nucleotide ribosomal RNA is filed under the name uncultured bacterium. RNAcentral's name for it is "bacterial SSU rRNA". It matches the Rfam family "Bacterial small subunit ribosomal RNA", at positions 355 to 796 of the family's 1533-position model. The record is from RNAcentral.
UGGGGAAUAUUGCGCAAUGGGCGAAAGCCUGACGCAGCGACGCCGCGUGGAGGAUGAAGGUCUUAGGAUUGUAAACUCCUGUCAGAUGGGAAGAAAGGUUUAUGUUUAAUAGACGUAAAAUAUGACGGUACCAUCAGAGGAAGCACCGGCUAACUUCGUGCCAGCAGCCGCGGUAAUACGAAGGGUGCAAACGUUAUUCGGAAUCACUGGGCGUAAAGGGUGCGUAGACGGUAUGUUAAGUUCGUUGUUAAAGGCUCCGGCCCAACCGGAGUAUUGCGAUGAAAACUGGCACACUAGAGGGUGAGAGAGAGAAGUGGAAUUCCCGGAGUAGCGGUAAAAUGCGUGGAUCUCGGGAGGAACACCAAUGGCGAAGGCAGCUUCUUGGCUCAUACCUGACGUUGAGGCACGAAAGCGUGGGGAGCAAACAGGAUUAGAUACCCCCGUAGUCC